This 254-nucleotide ribosomal RNA is filed under the name uncultured bacterium. RNAcentral's name for it is "partial 16S ribosomal RNA". It matches the Rfam family "Bacterial small subunit ribosomal RNA", at positions 524 to 776 of the family's 1533-position model. The record is from RNAcentral.
UACGGGGGGAGCAAGCGUUGUUCGGAUUUACUGGGCGUAAAGGGCGCGUAGGCGGCCAGCACAAGUCAGUUGUGAAAUCUCCGGGCUUAACUCGGAAAGGUCAACUGAUACUGUGCGGCUAGAGUGCAGAAGGGGCAACUGGAAUUCUCGGUGUAGCGGUGAAAUGCGCAGAUAUCAGGAAGAACACCCGUGGCGAAAGCGGCUCUCUGGGACGGUACUGACGCUGAGACGCGAAAGCGUGGGGAGCGAACAGG